UUGGUGGUGACGUGUGAGCUGAUUCACCUGGACACUCAGCAAAAUAUGGACGCUACACCAUGAGGCAGGCACACGUUAAUACUCUAUAAGAGCACAUAAGCAUGAGGAUGUCCUCACACACGUGUAACCUAUCAGCUCAUCUGGCAGAAUAGAGAGAGAAGAGACAACACCACAUCUUCUGUUCCUGGAAAGCCUUCAGCCAUCCUUCAAUGACCAGUGUUGGGAGUAAUGCGGUACAAAAGUAAUUAAUUACUGUAAUGCAUUGCUUUUUGCUGUAAUGUGGUAAUGUAAGGCAUUACAGGGAAAGAAAAUGGUAAUAUUUACUCGGUACAAUUGUCAGUAACGCGGUA
Molecule: non-coding RNA, 350 nt
Organism: Nothobranchius furzeri (turquoise killifish)
Lineage: Eukaryota; Metazoa; Chordata; Actinopteri; Cyprinodontiformes; Nothobranchiidae
Source: RefSeq, a predicted model, not a curated record